This 2902-nucleotide ribosomal RNA is filed under the name Escherichia coli O104:H4 str. 11-02318. RNAcentral describes it as "bacterial LSU rRNA". It matches the Rfam family "Bacterial large subunit ribosomal RNA". The record is from RNAcentral. Lineage: Bacteria; Pseudomonadati; Pseudomonadota; Gammaproteobacteria; Enterobacterales; Enterobacteriaceae.
UUAAGCGACUAAGCGUACACGGUGGAUGCCCUGGCAGUCAGAGGCGAUGAAGGACGUGCUAAUCUGCGAUAAGCGUCGGUAAGGUGAUAUGAACCGUUAUAACCGGCGAUUUCCGAAUGGGGAAACCCAGUGUGAUUCGUCACACUAUCAUUAACUGAAUCCAUAGGUUAAUGAGGCGAACCGGGGGAACUGAAACAUCUAAGUACCCCGAGGAAAAGAAAUCAACCGAGAUUCCCCCAGUAGCGGCGAGCGAACGGGGAGCAGCCCAGAGCCUGAAUCAGUAUGUGUGUUAGUGGAAGCGUCUGGAAAGGCGCGCGAUACAGGGUGACAGCCCCGUACACAAAAAUGCACAUGCUGUGAGCUCGAUGAGUAGGGCGGGACACGUGGUAUCCUGUCUGAAUAUGGGGGGACCAUCCUCCAAGGCUAAAUACUCCUGACUGACCGAUAGUGAACCAGUACCGUGAGGGAAAGGCGAAAAGAACCCCGGCGAGGGGAGUGAAAAAGAACCUGAAACCGUGUACGUACAAGCAGUGGGAGCACGCUUAGGCGUGUGACUGCGUACCUUUUGUAUAAUGGGUCAGCGACUUAUAUUCUGUAGCAAGGUUAACCGAAUAGGGGAGCCGAAGGGAAACCGAGUCUUAACUGGGCGUUAAGUUGCAGGGUAUAGACCCGAAACCCGGUGAUCUAGCCAUGGGCAGGUUGAAGGUUGGGUAACACUAACUGGAGGACCGAACCGACUAAUGUUGAAAAAUUAGCGGAUGACUUGUGGCUGGGGGUGAAAGGCCAAUCAAACCGGGAGAUAGCUGGUUCUCCCCGAAAGCUAUUUAGGUAGCGCCUCGUGAAUUCAUCUCCGGGGGUAGAGCACUGUUUCGGCAAGGGGGUCAUCCCGACUUACCAACCCGAUGCAAACUGCGAAUACCGGAGAAUGUUAUCACGGGAGACACACGGCGGGUGCUAACGUCCGUCGUGAAGAGGGAAACAACCCAGACCGCCAGCUAAGGUCCCAAAGUCAUGGUUAAGUGGGAAACGAUGUGGGAAGGCCCAGACAGCCAGGAUGUUGGCUUAGAAGCAGCCAUCAUUUAAAGAAAGCGUAAUAGCUCACUGGUCGAGUCGGCCUGCGCGGAAGAUGUAACGGGGCUAAACCAUGCACCGAAGCUGCGGCAGCGACGCUGAUGCGUUGUUGGGUAGGGGAGCGUUCUGUAAGCCUGUGAAGGUGUGCUGUGAGGCAUGCUGGAGGUAUCAGAAGUGCGAAUGCUGACAUAAGUAACGAUAAAGCGGGUGAAAAGCCCGCUCGCCGGAAGACCAAGGGUUCCUGUCCAACGUUAAUCGGGGCAGGGUGAGUCGACCCCUAAGGCGAGGCCGAAAGGCGUAGUCGAUGGGAAACAGGUUAAUAUUCCUGUACUUGGUGUUACUGCGAAGGGGGGACGGAGAAGGCUAUGUUGGCCGGGCGACGGUUGUCCCGGUUUAAGCGUGUAGGCUGGUUUUCCAGGCAAAUCCGGAAAAUCAAGGCUGAGGCGUGAUGACGAGGCACUACGGUGCUGAAGCAACAAAUGCCCUGCUUCCAGGAAAAGCCUCUAAGCAUCAGGUAACAUCAAAUCGUACCCCAAACCGACACAGGUGGUCAGGUAGAGAAUACCAAGGCGCUUGAGAGAACUCGGGUGAAGGAACUAGGCAAAAUGGUGCCGUAACUUCGGGAGAAGGCACGCUGAUAUGUAGGUGAAGUCCCUCGCGGAUGGAGCUGAAAUCAGUCGAAGAUACCAGCUGGCUGCAACUGUUUAUUAAAAACACAGCACUGUGCAAACACGAAAGUGGACGUAUACGGUGUGACGCCUGCCCGGUGCCGGAAGGUUAAUUGAUGGGGUUAGCGCAAGCGAAGCUCUUGAUCGAAGCCCCGGUAAACGGCGGCCGUAACUAUAACGGUCCUAAGGUAGCGAAAUUCCUUGUCGGGUAAGUUCCGACCUGCACGAAUGGCGUAAUGAUGGCCAGGCUGUCUCCACCCGAGACUCAGUGAAAUUGAACUCGCUGUGAAGAUGCAGUGUACCCGCGGCAAGACGGAAAGACCCCGUGAACCUUUACUAUAGCUUGACACUGAACAUUGAGCCUUGAUGUGUAGGAUAGGUGGGAGGCUUUGAAGUGUGGACGCCAGUCUGCAUGGAGCCGACCUUGAAAUACCACCCUUUAAUGUUUGAUGUUCUAACGUUGACCCGUAAUCCGGGUUGCGGACAGUGUCUGGUGGGUAGUUUGACUGGGGCGGUCUCCUCCUAAAGAGUAACGGAGGAGCACGAAGGUUGGCUAAUCCUGGUCGGACAUCAGGAGGUUAGUGCAAUGGCAUAAGCCAGCUUGACUGCGAGCGUGACGGCGCGAGCAGGUGCGAAAGCAGGUCAUAGUGAUCCGGUGGUUCUGAAUGGAAGGGCCAUCGCUCAACGGAUAAAAGGUACUCCGGGGAUAACAGGCUGAUACCGCCCAAGAGUUCAUAUCGACGGCGGUGUUUGGCACCUCGAUGUCGGCUCAUCACAUCCUGGGGCUGAAGUAGGUCCCAAGGGUAUGGCUGUUCGCCAUUUAAAGUGGUACGCGAGCUGGGUUUAGAACGUCGUGAGACAGUUCGGUCCCUAUCUGCCGUGGGCGCUGGAGAACUGAGGGGGGCUGCUCCUAGUACGAGAGGACCGGAGUGGACGCAUCACUGGUGUUCGGGUUGUCAUGCCAAUGGCACUGCCCGGUAGCUAAAUGCGGAAGAGAUAAGUGCUGAAAGCAUCUAAGCACGAAACUUGCCCCGAGAUGAGUUCUCCCUGACCCUUUAAGGGUCCUGAAGGAACGUUGAAGACGACGACGUUGAUAGGCCGGGUGUGUAAGCGCAGCGAUGCGUUGAGCUAACCGGUACUAAUGAACCGUGAGGCUUAACCUU